Long non-coding RNA from Monodelphis domestica (gray short-tailed opossum), 3175 nucleotides. RefSeq lists it as uncharacterized. Lineage: Eukaryota; Metazoa; Chordata; Mammalia; Didelphimorphia; Didelphidae. The record is from RefSeq and is a predicted model, not a curated record.
AUUGAUGGAUGGAAAAUUUCUCCUGGAUUCAGAUUAGAUGUUUUUUUCUAAGGGAUUUUGUGCCAUAAAACUAUUGGAAGAAUUAAAUGAGUUUGGUGGGAUGUCAUGCUAAUCUGUGAAUGGUUUCAAAGCAUUUUAUUCUUUAGUAACAGUAACCUGUAGGGAAUUAAAAUUAUGUUUCACUAAAUCUUGCUUGAGUUCUUAUGACUUUUUCUUUCUUUUUUUUUUUGCACAAUUCAAUCCUAUUGCCCACUCUACACUGAAGAAAGUUCUCUAAUAAUAAUUUGAUUUCAUUUGUACUCUUUUCUUAUGUGGAUACUAUAUAGAUUUUUUUCUAAGUCUCUCAUCAUUUGCUAUUAGAGAUGUUAUUUCCUUAAUUUCUAAAUCAAUUUCUUUAAUUUGUCUCUGCCUUUCUCUUGAUUUAUUGCAUAUACUAUCACUCACAGAUUCACUUUCUUGCACACAUUUUUCAUUGUUUCUCAACUUUUUCCUAAUUUUAAUAGCAGCUUCCAUUUCACUAUUUUUUCUAUCUCCAUGUGGCACAGUAUAUACUCUAAAGGUCUGGCUACAUAAUUCUUUCCUAACCAUAUCUGAGUACUUAGGUUUGGCUCCAGAAUUAAUGGCUUUUUGCAUCUCUUGCAAAUCAUUUGCUUGCUUAGUGGACUUUAGCAUGUAAUGAGAACAGUAAAUGGACUUUUUGUAUCUAGUUUGUGUAUUUUUGUUGUCAUGUACUUCAUAUUUCUUCUUCAAAAGACAAUUUUUAUAAGGUGUCCUCUCUUGUGGCAAAAAAAAAGCAUUCCUCAGUUUCUCUUUGUACUGGCUUUGGUUUUGUGUAAAUAGAUUUUCUGUAAAUCCUAACCAUGUUUAGUUCCUUGAUUUCCUCUAUCUCCUUUUCUUUUAGAUUUUUCUUUGAUAUGUCUAAUUUAUCUUUCAAGUCUUGCAUUUGUUUGUUUUGUUCUGUGUGAUUAUCAUGGAGGUCACUAGCUGUUUCACACAGCUCAAUCAGACUGACCAUGUCAUAUUUAUGGAAAUAGUGCUUAAAGAAGUUCUUUAAGUGAGGUGUGCAACCCCUCAAAAACUGUCUAUGAACAUGACUUGAAGACUUCACUAUUAGCCUCUAGACCCAAUAUCUAUUCUGCCAUUUCUGACAGAUGAUCAAUGUAUGUGGCUGGAUUUUCCCCUUUGUUCUGCAAGAGUUUAUCAAACCUAGCUCAUGCAUUUGGCUUUGAGCAACACUGCUUUAUCAUUUGGAGCAAAUCUUCCCUGCAUUUUCUCAGGUAGUACAUGCUAGUGAGGUUUGCAAAGUCGAGAUCUUCCCUUUGCUCCUGAGUUGGCCAGCUAGUUAAGUUAUUAUCAGUUCUGGUCUUUUCAAGGAUUUGCCUUUGCUCAUGGGGGUUAAACAGUUCAGAGAAAAGAAACUCUACAUCUUCAAAAUCAGGGUCAAAGAUCCUAAAAGCACAUUUCAGUUCCUUUUGUGUUUUGAAAGGUUGUUCUAUGAAAUUUGGAAAAUGUUUCUUUAGGGAUUCAAGUUCCUGUGAUGUGAAUUGCCUGUGAACUUUAGAUUGCAGUACACCAGUUGUAGUUGAUAGCUUGGUGACCUCCUUUAAUAGACAAAUCUUCUCUGGUUCACUGUCAGGCUUGAUGUCAUUGUCACCUUCAUUUACCUUAGCAUUGACCUUAGCUUUCUUAGUCUUUCUCUUUUUCUUUGGGUGCACUGUCUUCCUGUCCAUUGUUCUUGUCCUCAAUCUUAUCUAGCUCUUUUUCCUUGAUCAAUUCUUCAAACAAGUUCUUAAUGAUGUUUUCCAGGUUGUUAUCAAUAACCAGUAUCUGUUCUGCCUUUUUGGGGAUCACAAAUCUAAAGAACUUUCUCAACUGGGUUAGGGUCUGUAAAACUGCCAUAAAGAUCACAUAAACUUGAUUCAGAAUUUGCCAGAGCAUUGUUUCAGUUUGAAAAGGUAACUGCAAUAUAAACAUGGUUUGGUUGCUUAUGUAGUCCAAAGAAUAAAAUAUCAUGUGGGUCAUUUUACUGUAAAGUAUGUUGUAGACCCAGAAUCCAACAAAAACUGCCAUAACUACAGCUACACAGAUAACCUGCUUAAACAUCUUUCAUAAUAUUGUUUCUAAGGAUUGUGGGGCUCGGUCUGUUAUAGAGGUACCAAUCUGUAACAGAAAAAUUUUAUCUGCAUGAGUUUGCACAGAAAUCGAGAAAAAUGUAUACCCAUGCACAUAUGUAAAUUUAUAUAGGUACAACUUAUGUACACAUGUAGAUACUAAUGUACUAACAAACUAAUUUUAUUAGAAUAAUUUAUUAAUAUUCUAAUUACUAACAAUUGUGACAACUUAGUAAAUUUGUUCAAAGUCUUAGGAAAGUAGAGACAGAUAUAGAACUACUUAGAUAUAGAAGUUAGAUUGUAUUGCAAUGGUAGGUUAGCAAUUGUUAGUGAUAGAAAAUGCUACUUAGUGAAUUUAUAGACAUUAGGAGAUAAGACAAUUGCAUAUUCAAAAUGUUAUGGAUAUUGUUGGAAUGGUUUGAUAAUUGUUACAUGAUUUGUUAUUAUGUAAAAACCAUGUUCAUGUAAAUUCCUAUUACCUAAACCAUUUUCCUAUACCCAAUCUUAGCAUAGAAGUAGGUAGACAAGAAUAGCUAAGAUAAGUUAGGAUUUGUUAUUUUGGGAGGGUAAAGGAAUGUUGAAGAUAGUAUAGGGUAAGAAUAGUUGGUUAGAAAUAUAUGAAAGGUAAGUAUCAUUAAAAUUUGCUGGGUGCAAAAUUUUUUAAGACAAAAAAGGGAGGGAUGUGGAGAAGGCAUGCAUGCAAGAGAGAAAGCUAAGGACAGAAGAGCUGUCAAUCAAUAGGAACAUUCCAUUUGGAAUGUUCCCGGGAAAACAGUUGGAGCUAAGGUAACAGCUAAACUGGACUGGACCCUUUGGCUUCUGACAGAAUGGUAGAGAAAAAGCUGUGGUUUCUGGCUUUUGGACUAAGUUUUGGCUGCUUGUAGCUGAUGGUGAAGACCUUUAAGCUUUUGCUGACUGACUGAGGUUAGCUGGCUGGUUAGAAGAAAAGAAGACAUAAAGAUGUCUCUGGCUCUGAUUCUGACCAGGAUAGUGAUGAGUGGAAAGAUUAUUCUAACUCCUUUCAAAAGUGUGUGAGUUCUUUCAUAAAAAUUCUUCUAACAUCA